RNAcentral lists this ribosomal RNA (253 nucleotides) under uncultured bacterium. RNAcentral describes it as "partial 16S ribosomal RNA". It matches the Rfam family "Bacterial small subunit ribosomal RNA", at positions 524 to 776 of the family's 1533-position model. The record is from RNAcentral.
UACGUAGGGGGCUAGCGUUGUCCGGAAUCAUUGGGCGUAAAGAGCGUGUAGGCGGUCCGGUAAGUCCGCUGUGAAAGUCGGGGGCUCAACCCUCGAAUGCCGGUGGAUACUGUCGGGCUAGAGUGCGGAAGAGGCGAGUGGAAUUCCUGGUGUAGCGGUGAAAUGCGCAGAUAUCAGGAGGAACACCAAUUGCGAAGGCAGCUCGCUGGAACGUUACUGACGCUGAGACGCGAAAGCGUGGGGAGCAAACAGG